Molecule: ribosomal RNA, 1280 nt
Filed under: metagenome
Description: bacterial SSU rRNA
Rfam family: Bacterial small subunit ribosomal RNA
Source: RNAcentral
UAGCUAGUUGGUGAGGUAAAGGCUUACCAAGGCGACGAUCUGUAGCGGGUCUGAGAGGAUGAUCCGCCACACUGGAACUGAGACACGGUCCAGACUCCUACGGGAGGCAGCAGUGGGGAAUUUUGGACAAUGGGGGCAACCCUUAUCCAGCCAUGCCGCGUGAGUGAAGAAGGCCUUCGGGUUGUAAAGCUCUUUCGGCCGGGAAGAAAUCGCAUGGGCCAAUACCCUGUGUGGAUGACGGUACCGGAAUAAGAAGCACCGGCUAACUACGUGCCAGCAGCCGCGGUAAUACGUAGGGUGCGAGCGUUAAUCGGAAUUACUGGGCGUAAAGCGUGCGCAGGCGGUUUUGUAAGACAGGCGUGAAAUCCCCGGGCUUAACCUGGGAACUGCGUUUGUGACUGCAAGGCUAGAGUACGGCAGAGGGGGGUGGAAUUCCACGUGUAGCAGUGAAAUGCGUAGAGAUGUGGAGGAACACCAAUGGCGAAGGCAGCCCCCUGGGUCGAUACUGACGCUCAUGCACGAAAGCGUGGGUAGCAAACAGGAUUAGAUACCCUGGUAGUCCACGCCCUAAACUAUGUCAACUAGGUGUUGGGUGGGUAAAACCAUUUAGUACCGUAGCUAACGCGUGAAGUUGACCGCCUGGGGAGUACGGCCGCAAGGUUAAAACUCAAAGGAAUUGACGGGGACCCGCACAAGCGGCGGAUGAUGUGGAUUAAUUCGAUGCAACGCGAAAAACCCUACCUACCCUUGACAUGCCAGGAACUUGCCAGAGAUGGCUUGGUGCCCGAAAGGGAGCCUGGACACAGGUGCUGCAUGGCUGUCGUCAGCUCGUGUCGUGAGAUGUUGGGUUAAGUCCCGCAACGAGCGCAACCCUUGUCGUUAAUUGCCAUCAUUUAGUUGGGCACUUUAACGAGACUGCCGGUGACAAGCCGGAGGAAGGUGGGGAUGACGUCAAGUCCUCAUGGCCCUUAUGGGUAGGGCUUCACACGUCAUACAAUGGUCGGUACAAAGGGUUGCCAAGCCGCGAGGCGGAGCCAAUCCCAGAAAGCCGAUCGUAGUCCGGAUUGCAGGCUGCAACUCGCCUGCAUGAAGUCGGAAUCGCUAGUAAUCGUGGAUCAGCAUGUCACGGUGAAUACGUUCCCGGGUCUUGUACACACCGCCCGUCACACCAUGGGAGCGGGUUCCGCCAGAAGUAGGUAGCCUAACCGCAAGGGGGGCGCUUACCACGGCGGGGUUCGUGACUGGGGUGAAGUCGGAACAAGGUAGCCGUAGGGGAACCU